This is a long non-coding RNA of Aricia agestis (brown argus), 160 nucleotides long. RefSeq lists it as uncharacterized. Lineage: Eukaryota; Metazoa; Arthropoda; Insecta; Lepidoptera; Lycaenidae. The transcript is spliced from 3 exons. The record is from RefSeq and is a predicted model, not a curated record.
UGCCUGGCGCCACGGGCAUAUACGCCAUACUGCACCGCAACCGUAAACUGUAGUACCGUACCGUAACUGUAGUUUAAUUUAGCGUUAACUUGAAUUAUCCGGACUUACCCUGUAUCCGAACUUACCCUGAUCAAAUAUUAUCCACAUUAUUAUAGGCUAU